GGGGCACCUUCAUUUCAAAAUGAUCAAUUGCAACAAAGAAUUACUAUAAAUCCCAAGCUCUUAAAAACAUAACUAGCCGCAUGUAUCACUCAGAACAAAAUCAAUUCAAGUGAGAAAUAAGCAAAUUAACUCAUACAGAACCAGUUAUCAUCAAAUUACUAUUAAGAAAAUUACAAGGCACUCACGCUUUAUUGAAUAUGUAUGCUUUUCCUCUGCGACAAUGAAAUACCUAGUUGCAUGAGGAUUAAUUUUUUUUAAAAAGAAAGACUGCCAAAUGGAGGCUGAAAUCAACAACGGAUCAGAACUCAACUACAAUGACCCAACAAAUAAAGUAGUCAGAGAGUAUUUCACAGCUCGAUAAGUCUUUGAAUUUCCAGAAAUAUUAGAGUAGAUGAAUGGAAACUGAAAUAACUUGGAACCUCUUUUUAUCUUACAAAAUUUUCAGAUUUGAGAACUUUAGAAAUAAGUUGGAGAUGAUGGAGGGGCGACCGAUUUUCUUUUAGGAAGAAGGUGGGAGGGGUCGUCAUUCUUCUGCUGCUGAAGAAGAAACAAAUUUAGGCGUGCUAACAUUUUGGAAGGGAAAAGUCCGUCGUUUCAUCGAUCGAGAGAGAGAGAGAGGGUCUUCUUCAUUUGAUUAGCGCUUUUUCUUUGUUUUUUGUGAGGAGGAGGGUUAGGUUGUAACGAGGGAAUGAGUAUUUGGGUAGGGCUCUGAUGGUA
This 717-nucleotide long non-coding RNA is filed under the name Nicotiana benthamiana. Its description in RNAcentral is "long non-coding RNA (NBEN_LNC010312)". Lineage: Eukaryota; Viridiplantae; Streptophyta; Magnoliopsida; Solanales; Solanaceae. The record is from RNAcentral.